AACGAACGCUGGCGGCAUGCCUAACACAUGCAAGUCGAACGAGACCUUCGGGUCUAGUGGCGCACGGGUGCGUAACGCGUGGGAACCUGCCCUUAGGUUCGGAAUAACUCCCCGAAAGGGGUGCUAAUACCGGAUAAUGUCUUCGGACCAAAGAUUUAUCGCCUUUGGAUGGGCCCGCGUUGGAUUAGCUAGUUGGUAGGGUAAAAGCCUACCAAGGCGACGAUCCAUAGCUGGUCUGAGAGGAUGAUCAGCCACACUGGGACUGAGACACGGCCCAGACUGCUACGGGAGGCAGCAGUGGGGAAUAUUGGACAAUGGGCGAAAGCCUGAUCCAGCCAUGCCGCGUGAGUGAUGAAGGCCUUAGGGUUGUAAAGCUCUUUUACCCGGGAUGAUAAUGACAGUACCGGGAGAAUAAGCUCCGGCUAACUCCGUG
RNAcentral lists this ribosomal RNA (433 nucleotides) under uncultured bacterium. RNAcentral describes it as "partial 16S ribosomal RNA". It matches the Rfam family "Bacterial small subunit ribosomal RNA", at positions 29 to 507 of the family's 1533-position model. The record is from RNAcentral.